RNAcentral lists this transfer RNA (79 nucleotides) under Peptoniphilus lacrimalis 315-B. Its description in RNAcentral is "tRNA-Arg". It matches the Rfam family "tRNA". Rfam says of the family: Transfer RNA (tRNA) molecules are approximately 80 nucleotides in length. Their secondary structure includes four short double-helical elements and three loops (D, anti-codon, and T loops). The record is from RNAcentral. Lineage: Bacteria; Bacillati; Bacillota; Tissierellia; Tissierellales; Peptoniphilaceae.
UGCACCUAUAGCUCAGUAGGAUAGAGCAACGGACUUCUAAUCCGUGUGCCGGGGGUUCGAAUCCUCCUAGGUGCGCCAG